Molecule: ribosomal RNA, 1029 nt
Filed under: Triticum aestivum (bread wheat)
Lineage: Eukaryota; Viridiplantae; Streptophyta; Magnoliopsida; Poales; Poaceae
Description: partial small subunit ribosomal RNA
Source: RNAcentral
AUGGAGAUGAAGUCGUCUAAACGGCCCUUCGAGUUGCUCAUAGAGAAGAGGCUAUGCCUUGAAAUCCUCAGAUCUGAUUACAUCAAAAUGUUUCACAAGAUUAAGGUCCACAAGAAUGCCAUAGACGAGAUUUACAAUCAAGUCAACCAUGUUGAGCCAUGGAUGAUUAACGACAAGAGGGUCCCUGGGCACGAUACCUUCAUUGCCCUCACCAAACCCGUCCGCAUUGUCCCCUCCAAGGCCUUCUGCCUCCUUUACAAGCCCUUCACCAUGAAACUUACCACGAAGCAGAUCAAGGACCUAAUUGACAACACGCACUCGCCUUAUGUCAGAGCUAUUGGAUUUUUAUACCUGCGGUAUGUUGCGGAACCAGAUACCUUAUGGACUUGGUAUGAGCCCUACAUUCGAGAUGACGAGAAGUUUUCGCCUGGACCCAAUGGUCAAAUGACUACUAUGGGCGUUUAUGUGCGUGAUCUCCUCCUGGGUGAGCGCUACUUCGGCAGUCCUCUUCCGCGAAUGCCAACCCGAGUUUUGCAAGAGGUCAUGGCCGAUCUUAAGACGAUGAGGCUCCCAACAAAACUGUCAGGGAUAAUUCAGUAUUCUUCCGUACAAGGAAGUGAAAGUGGUCAUGCAAAAUCUCCACCGAGGAAGCACCGAAGUCAAAGUUGUGAGAGUAGUCAUGAUACUGAGAGGAACCAUUCAGAGCAUGAUCGUCCUAGGCACAAUGUUAGGGAGCAAGGUCGGCAAGCCCAAGUCAAGAAAGACCUUGAAAGGGAUGAUGAGAGACGUAGGGGUUCUGACCGAAAUGGCUGUUCGAGUGGACGCCGCAGGAGCAGAAGCAGGAGCCGUGAAAGGAGGGACUGGGGACUUGACCGUGAAAGGAAGGACCCUGGUCGAAACAGGCGUUCGAGAGGCCGCAGUGGCAGGAGCAGGAGCAGGAGCAGGAGUAGGGGCAGGAGGUGGAGCAGGGGCGAGCACGAGCCUGAGCAGGAGCAGGAGCGUCAGCCCCACUUCAUUUUGCGAAGAUGA